RNAcentral lists this long non-coding RNA (215 nucleotides) under Carica papaya (papaya). RNAcentral describes it as "long non-coding RNA (CPAP_LNC006699)". The record is from RNAcentral. Lineage: Eukaryota; Viridiplantae; Streptophyta; Magnoliopsida; Brassicales; Caricaceae.
CAUUAAGUUUACGUAUGUAAUUUCAUAUUGUACUUAUAUAUAAGUCUUUAAUCCAACAAUGACUUCAAAAAUUAUCUCUUUACUUUCUGCACGAUUUACAAAGAUGUACUAAGCUAUUAUUUAUAGGACAGAUACAUAAAAUAUUAAGUUAAGUAAAAGAAAUUAUGUUAGAUAAAAGAAUGUUAAACCUUUUGUUGUCUCUAAUAAUCUAUUUU